ACUAGGGAUUUUGGAUACCCUAUUAUUUAUGUGUAAUGUUUUGUGCUUGAGUAGUAAUAGUUAUGUUCUGAAACUUAAAGAAUUGGCGGUAUCUCAUUCUGUCCAGAGGAAUCUGUCUCGUUAUCGAUAGUCCGCGUUGGAUCUUACUUAGAGUUUAGAGUGGUUUGUAUACCGCCGUUUAUUGAUUAUCUUUUUAGGGUUAAUUUUCUGGUUUCUUUAUUUUGAUUUAUUUCAGGUCAAGGUGCAGCUUUUUCUAAGUGUAAUGAUGGAUUACAGUGUUAUUUGUUGUUUGGAUUGUUGGUUUUGAUACUGUAUAUGAAAUUGGAUUUGGUUGUAAUGUUUUGUAGAUUGUUUUCAUGAUAAUUGGUUCUGAGAUAUGUACACAUCGCCCGUCACUCUCG
RNAcentral lists this ribosomal RNA (401 nucleotides) under Microtermes obesi. RNAcentral's name for it is "partial 12S ribosomal RNA". The record is from RNAcentral. Lineage: Eukaryota; Metazoa; Arthropoda; Insecta; Blattodea; Termitidae.